Anopheles coluzzii is the source of this 6001-nucleotide RNA transcript. It is a transcript of the gene named telomerase-binding protein EST1A, with no coding region annotated. Lineage: Eukaryota; Metazoa; Arthropoda; Insecta; Diptera; Culicidae. The record is from RefSeq and is a predicted model, not a curated record. The transcript is spliced from 18 exons.
CCAUGCUCGGUCACUCUGCGCCAGAGCUUUGGCCAUGGUUUCAAACGCCUUGUGAAGCGGUGAGAUGAGUUUUCUUCCGUCAAAUGCUUCAUUUUGGUUCCCCUUGCAUCAAGGGUAGGAAAGGCUGCGAAGUAUAAACGAACGAAAAAAGAAAAAAAAAAAUCCCACUCAAGCUGCUGACACAACAUCAUUGCAUCGUGAAUGGUCGCCUCGGUAGAGUGUUUUAUUUUGGCGUAAAAUUGAUAUCCGACUAUUUUUAACAUAAAUGACAGUGUGCGAUCAUCGAGCAGGCAAAACUUUCGUAGCAAGUAAACAAAAGCGCCACAUCUUGCUGGAGAUUGGCGAUAGGCACCGGCGUGAAGGAAGGAUACCGUGAGCGAUUGAUGCACUUUUGGGCGCAUUCCGUGACCCCGAGCAACGUAAGCCGCAGAAAGGAUAUAUUGUUGGCGGUACGCGUACCGGGAAGCACAACGAUCGAGCCGACGACCUGCCUUGUGCGCGAAGAUGAGAAAUGCCACCGCACUGCCCACUAUGGUUCCCGCCAGUGCAGCGUCGGUAUCGUCGCGCAACGCCACCAAUAAACGCCAGCAGCAGCUGUACAGCCCGGGCAGUGGGCCGCUGCGCAAGACGGAGCUAACUUCCAGCAACCGAUCGCUCAACAAUCAGCCCCCGCAAACAGACGAACCGUCCCGGCAGCGUUGGGGGAACGGCGGAGCAGACGCGCUGGCGGCUGGUGGAGGAUCGAUUCGGCACGGUGGCUCCGGCACGGACAGCAACGUGCCCGGGUGUCCACCGGCGUCGGGCGGUUGGCGCACCGAGGGACACUCGAACCAGCAGGCCAACAGCGGCUCCUCGAUGGGCGGCGAGGAGCUGGAACCGAGGGGCUUUGCCGCGCCCGCACCAAUCAAUCGCAUGCAGCGCGACACGCGCAGUGUGGAGCCGCGGUACGUGGGCGGCUCGAAGAAACCGUCUAUGCCGUCGCUCUCGCACCUGGAGAAUCUGCCGCCCCGGCUGCAGAAGAAAACGCUCCAGGAUCUGGGCCUGCCGCCGAACUAUCUCGAGAUAAUGCGGGCGGAGCAGCAGGCGAUGUCGCAAACGCUGCCGAAUCGCAGCGGCUCGCGGCACAACCGCGGCCGGCCACGGGGGUACGCGGGUAGCUCGGGCGGUGGUGGAGGUGGCAGCAGCGGUGCCUAUUACACGAACGCUUCGUACGGUGCUUCCGGCCGUACGAUGCAGGGGGGCAAUAGGCCGGCAAGCGAUGACGAUUACUCGCGGCCCCGCAGCCGGUCGUCGGAGAUUGUGUGCGGGCCGGAGGGAAGCUACGCGCCUCGCAGGGGGCCGUCGAAUCGGGACCGCAGGAUGGAACCGGGACCGGGCAGUCGCAACUCGAGCUGUGACCGCAAAGAGCUGCCCAGGGGCACCCCGUACGCUAAUGAUGCAAGCAGAAGGAGUGGUGGUGGUGUUGGUGGCCGUUUCAGGCAGUAUUCGACCGACAGCAAUCGCAUGCUGCACGAUGGCCUGGGUGGUGAGGUACCGAGCGGUUCGGGUUACGGUUCGAUUCCGCCGUAUAAGUCGAGCAGUCGGCGCGAAUCCUAUAACUGGGCAAAUGAUUAUGAUGGUAGCACGGAACAAAAUGUAGCAGCAGAUCAUUCGAGAUGGCACGGGAAUGUUGAUAUGGAAACAGUGCCACCAGCAGUGCCGAUGGGCAACAACAACCGCAAUAGACAAAGAAAUCGAAGUACUUCCCGCUCAAGAAACGAUUAUUACGAUGAAAUUAAAAUGUCCUACCAGCAACGCGUCGGUAACCGCAGCCGACGCAACUCGCAAUCAUCCAAUGUAAGCCGCGAGAACAGCUCCGAGCGCCCCUACUCGCGUUCCGGUGCCAAUCGUCGCGGACCCUAUCGAGAUGCAAGCACCGACCGGGCCUAUGAGUCGGGUGGCCGCUUUCAAAAGCAUGCCCGCGACCGCUACAACAAUCGUAGCCGGGAUAACAGCAUGAACCGACCGGUGGGUGAUAUACCGUACGACACGGACGGUAGCGGCUGGCGCAACACAGCAGUAGCCCCGGCGGAUGGUGCCGCUCCGCUGAACGACCAUACCGAGCGAGCGAUUGCCGAGAUGACGAAACAGUUUGAAAGCUCGAUCGGGAUACAGAAGGGCCCGGGCGUGUUAGUUAUCCCGUCGGGAUUGUCACCGAACAGUGCGAGCUCGACAGUCGCCGCAGCCGAGUGUGGUGGCGGGCGCGAAACGAAGCUGCUGUUCGAUCCUAAAAACCCGUCGCAGCCGAUCGUCGUUACGCGGACACAGUCAAGGGCAAGCAAGCAGCGCGAUGCGCGCGACAGCUUGAGACGGGACGAAGGUCGAGACGGUGGCAGACAUCAGCUGGCGGGCGGACCGGCCUGGUACAAUCCGGACGGGCAGCAAGCGAAACUGUUGCGCCAGAAGGAGCUGAUCUACAAGGUGGUAGAAGCGGACGCACAGCUGCAGGAGCUCAUGGAGAGUGGCAAUCUGUAUGCUGAAUGGGCCCGGUACGAGCAGAUCCGCCGUGGGCUGCAGGAUUUGCUGGAAACGUUCCUGGUGCGGGAGAUGCGCUUUGCCCAGGACGUGAAUUUGGAGCACCACUUCUGGAAAAUGCUGUUCUACGGCAUCAUCGAGCAGCUGCGCAAGCAGCUGUCGGAAGCGCAGGACGAGCAGUGGAAACAGUACUUGCAGGAGCGUGCGCUCGAGGUGGUGGAAAGUGGUACCGCUUACUUCGAGCAGCUGCUGACGCUGCUCGAGCGCGAGCACCGGUUCAGUCUGGAGCAGUUUAUCGGUGCGAAUGCGGCGACGAGCACGAAAGGGUUGCGCUACGCGCUGGCGCUUGUGUCGUCCCAGAAAAUAUUCCUGUUUUUGGGCGAUCUUGCCAGGUACCGCGAACAGAUCACCGGUGGCCACAACUUCCGCAAAGCCAAACAGUGGUACGUGAAAGCGCAACAGAUUCUGCCUAAGAAUGGAAGGCCGUACAAUCAGCUUGCACUGCUGUCGGUGUAUGCGAAACGUAAAAUCGACGCAGUUUAUUUCUACAUGCGUAGCCUGAUGUCGUCCAACCCGUUCGAAUCAGCAAGGGAGAGUCUGAUGGACUUGUUCAACGAAACGAAGAAAAAGUUUGAGAACAAUCAGCGAAAGCGCGAAGACAAACUGCGUGCAAGGAGAAAGGAAAAGGAGCAGCGUUUCGAUGGCAACCUGCGGCGUGAAAUCUGGAUACAUCCGGAGGGUGGAUCGCGUGUGCACCGGACUGGACCACUGUAUCCCAUCGCAGCCGGCCAUUCGUCCGAUACGAGCGACGAAGAGGAGCUGCAGACGCUCGGCUCGAUCGAGCUGAACAAACGGUUUAUCAUAAGCUUUUUGCAUGUGCUCGGUAAAUUGAUCACUAAGACGGGCAUGGAAUCGUUUACCCAAUGUGCGCAGCAGAUGCUGCGCGAGUUUCGCGUGUUGGUGCAGGUCACACCCAUCGCUGUGACCAGCUAUCGUUUGCUACAGCUAAUGUCGCUGAACAUGUUUGCGAUCGAGAUGACGAAACUGAAAGACACGUCCACCACUGGCCAGGAAACCCGAUCCGAGCUGCAGGAGUGUGCGCUCUCGUCCGGUCUGCUCAUGUUUGGAAUUUUGCUCGAGCGGUUUAUACGGCUCAUCCAAGAUGCGCUGGACGCGAGCGAGGGCAGCGCGAAGGACCCAGACAAUGGCGACUAUGGUGCGAGUGAAACACCGAAACUAAUCUUACCCGAAGAUGCCAAAGUGAUACUGCCAGCCAUUAAGGUCUGGUGUGAUUGGAUGAUGUCGAACACAGACACGUGGAACCCGCCGCCCUGCUGCGCUGACUACAAGAUAGGAAAAUCUAACGCCCAUGAUCCGUGGUCUGAGCUGGCGGUGCUAAUGAACAUACUGAAGCGCUUGGAUACAAACCGCAGCAUACUGUCGGUGGAGCAGAAUGAAGCAGGAUAUGAAAAUGUACGCCUGCCCGAGGAUAUCACCCUUGCCGGGUUCACACCGCUAAUGUACUACGAUCCCGAGCCCAUUUUUGUGCAUCCGGAAUGUGACAUGGAGGAGGCACAGAAUGUGCUGCGCAUCCAGAAGCUGCUCUACUUCGGCACGGAUCGUUUGUGUCACUGUGAGCCGCCAGUGCUGCGCCGGGAGCAGGGAGCGCCGCGUGGGAUGGCCGAAGGUCGCGCCCAGUUUUACAGCGUCGUGCAAAACCGAACGGCAAGGCUGAGCGAUAUGGACAUCCUGCUGGAAAGCUACAGCGACGAUGAGGAGCUAGAGCCGGGCACGGACGGUGUCAGGGCGAGCGGCGGCGAUCUGCCCAAGAGCGUGGAGCAGCACCAGGGCAGUGGUGCCGUGGGCGACCCCUCGACACCUUCGGCCGAUAGUGGUGUGCUCAGCGGUAGCAGCAGCAGCAGCAUCAGCAACGGCCCGAGCAGCCUCGAAACGCGCAAGCUGCUGCGGCGCAAGGACGAGCUGGAGCGCAAGCAGCGCAUGCAGGAGAAGCACAGCCAGCGGCUGCAGGACAUACUUUCGCAAAGCACGAUCGCAGUCAGCAUCGAGGUGCACCCUCGCCUUCUGGUAACGGACACCAACUGCUUCGUCGACUAUCUGGGGGCGAUCGAGCUGAUCGCGAAGGCCCAUCCACUGUAUCAGCUAAUGGUACCCAUCAUUGUGAUUAACGAACUCGAGGGAUUGUCGAAGGGGCUGCGCAACCAGUCGCCGAAGCAGCAGACAGCAUCCACGGCAGCGGUGGCUGAAAUUCUGGUGCCGGUGCAGAAACAGCUCGCCCUGCCAACGGCACCGGCCACUGUCGUGUCCAUUGCACCGGCUAACAGCAGCAGCACCAGUGCCGCCGGUCUUCAUCAGCAGCACGCGGCCAAGGUUGCCGACGCAUCGAAGAAAGCAUUGCAGUUCAUCAAGUCGCGCAAUCCCGCCCUGAAAUGUGUGACGACCAAGGGUUCGAUACUGAAAACGUCGACCUUCACCGUAGAGGAUGACGUCGGUGACCUCAAGUCGAACGACGAUCGAAUACUCGAGACUGCCUUAAACCUCUGCCGCAACCACAUCGAGGAGACGCGCGCCGGCACCCGGUACCUAACGAUGGACGUCGUGCUGCUGACGACGGAUCGCAACUUGCGGGUAAAAGCCAUAUCAAACGAUCUGCCCGUUAGAGAGAUACCGGACUUUAUCAAGUGGGCAGGACUAAGCGCCUAGCGAACAGUGCGCACCAGCUGGGUGGCGGCGCUGCGCUGGCAAGCACGGUCAUAUAGUUAGACAAAUAGGCUCUGUUGGCAGAUAGCGCACAGCAGAAGAAAAGCGGGAAUUGAUUGUUUGAGGCUGUUAAAUCCGUUUUAGUGAACGUUACGUUUUACGCACGAUCUAUAUCGUUUUGGUGGCGCGCGCGCGUACUGAAAGUGAUUUUUUCGCGUUAGUAAGGACGAGCGGCGCUGCACGCGCACGCGAAUUACCAGGACCGUAUUGCGACUUUGUGAAAGAUGGCUCCAUUUGACACUUACGAUCGAUUGUGUGUGUUUUUUUUUUCGGGCGGCGUCACUAGAUAGUUGUAAACCUGCAAAGGGAAACGCAGGAGCCGUGCUAAUGUUAACAUUGUCAAUGCGCGGGGGACGUAAACGCUUCGCUUAAUUUUACCUAACAGUCAUUGGGUCGCGCCCCUAGCAAAAAAGUCUUUUUCCUGAUUUAGUACAUACUGACAGUCUGUUUGCAUGUGUGUGUCCGUGUAAAGUCGGCGACAAAAGACGCGAAUGCUCAAUUUAUAGUUACACGCGCUAGGAUGGAACACAUCUCGCGCACACACGGAAAACGCUAACCUGCUCCAAUAGACUGAUGGGGAAAAAGGAAGAAAAAAAACGUGACACCGGAGCAAGGGCGAUUAGUAGCGGCUGUUUAAGUAACAGGUCUGUAAGCGAUAGUGGAACGUCUUUUUUUCAAAUUCAAUAAAAUGUAUUAUGAUUUUAUAGAA